Molecule: ribosomal RNA, 253 nt
Filed under: uncultured bacterium
Lineage: Bacteria
Description: partial 16S ribosomal RNA
Rfam family: Bacterial small subunit ribosomal RNA
Source: RNAcentral
UACGUAGGGUCCGAGCGUUGUCCGGAAUUAUUGGGCGUAAAGAGCUCGUAGGCGGUUUGGCGCGUCUGCUGUGAAAUCCCGAGGCUCAACCUCGGGCCUGCAGUGGGUACGGGCAGACUUGAGUGCGGUAGGGGAGAAUGGAAUCCCUGGUGUAGCGGUGGAAUGCGCAGAUAUCAGGAGGAACACCGAUGGCGAAGGCAGUUCUCUGGGCCGUAACUGACGCUGAGGAGCGAAAGCGUGGGGAGCGAACAGG